This 283-nucleotide ribosomal RNA is filed under the name uncultured prokaryote. RNAcentral's name for it is "partial 16S ribosomal RNA". It matches the Rfam family "Bacterial small subunit ribosomal RNA", at positions 524 to 817 of the family's 1533-position model. The record is from RNAcentral.
UACGUAGGGGGCUAGCGUUAUCCGGAAUUACUGGGCGUAAAGGGUGCGUAGGUGGUUUCUUAAGUCAGAGGUGAAAGGCUACGGCUCAACCGUAGUAAGUCUUUGAAACUGGGAAACUUGAGUGCAGGAGAGGAGAGUGGAAUUCCUAGUGUGGCGGUGAAAUGCGUAGAUAUUAGGAGGAACACCAGUUGCGAAGGCGGCUCUCUGGACUGUAACUGACACUGAGGCACGAAAGCGUGGGGAGCAAACAGGAUUAGAUACCCGGGUAGUCCCUGAGCGGGCU